UGUAUAAUGUCCAAUAGAUGA
Molecule: non-coding RNA, 21 nt
Filed under: Caenorhabditis elegans
Lineage: Eukaryota; Metazoa; Nematoda; Chromadorea; Rhabditida; Rhabditidae
Source: RNAcentral